RNAcentral lists this ribosomal RNA (482 nucleotides) under uncultured bacterium. RNAcentral describes it as "bacterial SSU rRNA". It matches the Rfam family "Bacterial small subunit ribosomal RNA", at positions 28 to 555 of the family's 1533-position model. The record is from RNAcentral.
AACGUACGCUGGCGGCACGCCUAACACAUGCAAGUCGAACGAAGUAGCAAUACUUAGUGGCAGACGGGUGAGUAACAUGUAGGUAUCUGCCCUUUGGCCUGGAAUAACACGAGGAAACUUGUGCUAAUACCGGAUAAGUCUUUACGGAGAAAGCUUUAUGCACCAUUGGAUGAGCCUGCACUUGAUUAGUUUGUUGGUGGGGUAAUGGCCUACCAAGACUGUGAUCAAUAGCUGAUUUGAGAGGAUGAUCAGCCACAUUGGGACUGAGACACGGCCCAAACUCCUACGGGAGGCAGCAGUGGGGAAUCUUGCACAAUGGAGGAAACUCUGAUGCAGCGAUGCCGCGUGAGUGAAGAAGGCCCUUGGGUUGUAAAGCUCUUUCGUCGGGAAAGAAAAUGACUGUACCCGAAUAAGAAGGUCCGGCUAACUUCGUGCCAGCAGCCGCGGUAAUACGAAGGGACCUAGCGUAGUUCGGAAUUACU